CUCGACAUCUCGCAUCCGCUCCAUCUAUGGAAGGCCACCACGCGCCAUGGAUCGCCGCUCUCUACCGCCACCUCAAUUGAAGGUUCACCGCUCUCUACGCGGAUCCGCCACCUCCUCCUCGGCCGCCGUCAAUAGAAGGUCCCAGAUCUCCUCUCCCAUUACUUCUCUCCCCAUUACCGCGCUCGAGGUCUGCCAUUUUUGGAGGUCCGCCACUUCCGCCUCUGCUCGCCGUCAAUGGAAGGUCCUAGAUCUCCUCUCCCUAUUACCGCGCUCGAGUCAGUGGGAGGUCCGCCAUUUUUGGAAGGUCCGCCACCUCCUCCUCGACCCGCGGCAAAAAUGGCGUGGGAGAUCCGCCACCUCCUCCUCGGCCCGCGGCAAAAAUGGUGUGGGAGAUCCGCCACCUCACCUCCUCCCAUUCUCACGCCCGCGCCUGAUAUGGAAGGUCCGCCGAAGGGACUCGGACGUCGAGGCCAUGGCUGAGCCGCACCCCUUCUCCCCCUGCCUCGCGCGCGGCGGCCGAGAUGGUGUUGGCUGGGUUGUUCGGGAUGGUGGUCCUACCUGCCCUCCCUGCUAUCCUCGCCCCAAAUCGACGAGAAUCAUGCAGCCCAAAUCUGAGGUGGAGGCGCCUGCACUGUCGAUGGAGGUGUCGAGUCUGCGGUGGUGUCUGUAGAUGGGAAGGCAUGGUGUGCAGCAGCAGUGGCCAGGUGGUGUCGCUGAGCCUGUCCUCCUACGGGCUCACUAGCACGCUCUCCACGGCCAUCGGGGACCUCACGUUCCUACGUAUGCUGAACCUGAGCUCCAAUUGGUUCCACGGGGAGGUCCCAGCGACCAUCGUUCGCCUUGCGCAUCUGCAGGCGCUAGACCUGAGCUACAACGCCUUCACUGAAUUCCAGAGAUGCAAUUCCCGAGGCCAUGGAGCAGCAGACAAUAUCAAUUGCCAAAGCAGCCAUUACAAUAGUACUCAUUUUAGGGACUUCAUUUCUUGCAGCUGCCAAUCCAAUUACAGGAUGCUAUGACGCUCUUAAGUGAUCAUGAACUUAUACAUUGAAAUAAUGGUGGGCCUCGAGAGGCCAGGAGGUGGAGAGGAGUUCAACAAGUACUACAUCUUGUCUGCUCUCCUAUCCGUGGAUUGAUGUCUUUAGUAGAGGAUCCAAAUAAUGGCCUGCAAGGUUUAUUGAAUCGGAUCGCACAAAACUCCAUCUGCUUCAGAAUUGAGCUAAGCGCAUCCUAACAUCUUGACUCCUAUAUCGAUCAAUUAUUUUUGUUACACAUUUGAUUCUUUAGUUUCGUAGAGGGAGGAACAUCGUGGGAUGCAGGCCCCACGGAACACCAGAUAUUUUGAGGUAGACCGCGGCGAGGUGCCCAAGGGCAGCGCCUAGAUCUUCUUCUGGAUGGUCAAGUUCUGUAACGACAAUGUGGCAGAGGAGAUGCCCUGAUCUUCGUACUUUGCCUACUAAGCAUCCACAAAAUCUCAUUAUAAGUUCUGAGAAGGCCAAGUCAAUUGUUCAGUAUAUUACAAAAGUCAGGUUGGAGAACUCCCUUGUUCAGGCUUUUGUCUUUCUUCUGCAGAAGGAGAGAUGACGUGCUGCAUGACAUGAUGGCAUGUGAGGCAGCAACCUCUUCUCCGCAACCCUUGUCAUGGCCUGGAGUUGGUGUUCUAGGAAGGAGCACAAUUUUAUUAGGGUAGCCACCAGAGUUGAGGUCCCUUUUCAAUGGACGAACUUGGUGCUGUGGACGACAUCUGCUAUUGUAGCUAGGCGCAUACAUGUUUUCCUAUAAAUGCUAGCUCUGCAAUCACCAAAGGAAAACACAAGAGUACUCUUGGAGGAAAGUUUAGCAUUCAGUUUAACAAACCUUACCAACUCAUGCCUUGUUUGAAUGCAAUAAUGCAUGUUAUGUUGCCCUGU
RNA transcript from Zea mays, 1907 nucleotides. It is a transcript of the gene named LRR receptor-like serine/threonine-protein kinase pseudogene, with no coding region annotated. The record is from RefSeq and is marked validated. The transcript is spliced from 7 exons. Lineage: Eukaryota; Viridiplantae; Streptophyta; Magnoliopsida; Poales; Poaceae.